This 894-nucleotide ribosomal RNA is filed under the name uncultured organism. RNAcentral's name for it is "SSU rRNA". It matches the Rfam family "Bacterial small subunit ribosomal RNA", at positions 29 to 931 of the family's 1533-position model. The record is from RNAcentral.
AUGAACGCUGGCGGCGUGCUUAACACAUGCAAGUCGAACGGAAAGGCCCUGCUUUUGUGGGGUGCUCGAGUGGCGAACGGGUGAGUAACACGUGAGUAACCUGCCCUUGACUUUGGGAUAACUUCAGGAAACUGGGGCUAAUACCGGAUAGGAGCUCCUGCUGCAUGGUGGGGGUUGGAAAGUUUCGGCGGUUGGGGAUGGACUCGCGGCUUAUCAGCUUGUUGGUGGGGUAGUGGCUUACCAAGGCUUUGACGGGUAGCCGGCCUGAGAGGGUGACCGGCCACAUUGGGACUGAGAUACGGCCCAGACUCCUACGGGAGGCAGCAGUGGGGAAUAUUGCACAAUGGGCGGAAGCCUGAUGCAGCAACGCCGCGUGCGGGAUGACGGCCUUCGGGUUGUAAACCGCUUUCGCCUGUGACGAAGCGUGAGUGACGGUAAUGGGUAAAGAAGCACCGGCUAACUACGUGCCAGCAGCCGCGGUGAUACGUAGGGUGCGAGCGUUGUCCGGAUUUAUUGGGCGUAAAGGGCUCGUAGGUGGUUGAUCGCGUCGGAAGUGUAAUCUUGGGGCUUAACCCUGAGCGUGCUUUCGAUACGGGUUGACUUGAGGAAGGUAGGGGAGAAUGGAAUUCCUGGUGGAGCGGUGGAAUGCGCAGAUAUCAGGAGGAACACCAGUGGCGAAGGCGGUUCUCUGGGCCUUUCCUGACGCUGAGGAGCGAAAGCGUGGGGAGCGAACAGGCUUAGAUACCCUGGUAGUCCACGCUGUAAACGGUGGGUACUAGGUGUGGGGUCCAUUCCACGGGUUCCGUGCCGUAGCUAAACGCUUUAAGUACCCCGCCUGGGGAGUACGGCCGCAAGGCUAAAACUCAAAGGACUUGACGGGGCCCCGCACAAGCG